GUCUCUGGGUUUCCUUUUUUCUGCCCCUGAGGUUCCGCGUGUUUAUAAAGCACAGAGGUUGCGUCACGGAGACGCACCUCAGCUCCUCUAUAAAAGGGCUGAGACUCUCUUUCCUCCUUACGCAUCUGCUGUCUCCUGAUCCGGUAAGGUUUUCUUCUGAUUGCCCAUUAGAUCUGGUCCCGCUCCGAUCUUCUAGAGAUUGGAGGCGGUCUUCAUUCUCUCUGAACGGAAGAGUGCAUAAAAUAGGGCUCUUCUGCUUCCGAGUCUUCUCUCUUGUGGCGAUUUAGAGGUUGCGUCACGGAGACGCAGCUCAGCUCCUCUAUAAAAGCGCUGAGACUCUCUUCCCUCCUUCCGCCUCUGCCGUCUCCUGAUCCGGUAAGGUUUUGUUUUGGAUUGCCCAUUAGAUCUGGUCCCGCUCCGAUCUUCUAGAGAUUGGAGGCGGUCUUCAUUCUCUCUGAACAGAAGAGUGCAGAAAAUAGGGCUCUUCUACUUCUGAGUCUUCUCUUUCGCGGCGAUUUAGAGGUUGCGUCGCGGAGAGGCAGCUCAGCUCCUCUAUAAAAGCGCUGAGACUCUCUUUCCUCCUUCCGCCUCUUCUGUCUCCUGAUCCGGUAAGGUUUUCUUUCGAUUGCCCAUUAGAUCUGGUCCCGCUCCGAUCUUCUAGAGAUUGGAGGCGGUCUUCGUUCUCUCUGAAGGGAAGAGUGCAGAAAAUGGGGCUCUUCUACUUCCGAGUCCUCUCUCUUGCGGCGAUUUAGAGGUUGCGUCACGGAGACGCAGCUCAGCUCCUCUAUAAAAGCGCUGAGACUCUCUUUCCUCCUUCCGCCUCUGCCGUAUCCUGAUCCGGUAAGGUUUUCUUUUUGAUUGCCCAUCGGAUCUGGUCCCGCUCCGAUCUUCUAGAGAUUGAGGCGGUCUUCAUUCUCUCUGAACGGAAGAGUGCAGAAAAAGGGGCUCUUCUACUUCUGAGUCUUCUCUCUUGUGGCGAUUUAAAGGUUGCGUCACGGAGACGCACCUCAGCUCCUCUAUAAAAGCGCUGAGACUCUCUUUCCUCCUUCCGCCUCUGCCGUCUCCUGAUCCGGCCGAAAAUGCUAAAUUACCCUCAUCCUGCUGUAUAAUUGUCUCAGGAUUGCUCUGUUGGGCUCUUAUAAAGCAAUGGAUCCAAAUGUUGCACGAGCUGUUGAGUAAUUUCCAACUGGUUUUGGUGAUUUGCUUUUAUUAGUUGAGAUAAAAAAAUAAAACGAAUUAUUAAUUAUUAAUUUGGUUUCGGCAUUUAUAAAAAAAAAAAGUUUGUAUUUGAAAAAUAUUUUUGUAGUUAGACGAGCAAAGAAGAAAAAUGUUUUUGAUAAUAGUUAAAUUCAAAAUUUAAAAUAAAAAAUCACACUCAAUACAUCUUGGUGCUGGAUUCAAAUAUUUUCUUUCGAAAAAAGAAACUUACGUACGUGUAUUAAUAUCGGUGCCUGUGCGCAUUUACAAAAUUUUUACGAGUCUGCUAGAUUCAAAUAAUGUAUCGUUCUUGUUUCUCUCACGCUUUUUGGUUGUAUUUGAGCAAUAAUUUGUCAGAGGCAGCAAGCCAGAUCUGGAAAUAUGGCAAGUUUUUAGAAAUUGGUGCUGCGCGUUUAAUCAUCUUUAACCAACAAGAUCUUAUGCUGGUUUUCAGUUAUGUUGCAGUCAAGAGAAAGGUUUCCAGGAUAUGCUUGAGAUGCUUGCCUCGUACAAGGAGGGGGUGUGUACCAUGUGGGAACCGUGUUCCCAUAAUCUUGAUUCUGUCCGGUUCCAUCCAAAGUGCAUAAAGAAACCUAGUUCCCACGCUGGAAACUGAUAACAGUGCUCGGUAUUUUAUGUUUAUUACCAGUUAUUGUUAAUUUAUUGCGCGACUUUCAUGGGAGUUGUAUCAAUAUGUCUUGAUCCCUUUUCUUGUUCUUUGAUUUACCGGGACCAUAUUCUGAAAAUAUUGUAAUCGUCGCUCGGUAAGGGUAUGGAUUGCUGGUUCAAGAGGUUUGCAAUAUCUAUUUACACUCGUAUCACUUGGUGCUGGAUUCAAAUGUUUUUCUUCUGUAUUAAAAAGUUACGUAUGUGUAUUAAUAUUGGUACCGAGGGGGCACUGCGCACUUACAAAAUUUUUACAAGUCCGCUGGAUUAAAAUAAUGUGACGUGCUUUGUUCCUCUCGGCGCUUUUUGCUUGUAUUUGAGCAAUCAUUUGUUAGAGGCAGCCAGGCCAGAUCUGAAAAUAUGGCAAGUUUUUAGAAAUUGAUGCUGCGCCUUUUAGUUGCCAACACGUUCUUAUGUUGGUUUUCAGGGACCAUAUUCUGACAAUAUUAUAACGCUCGCUCGGUAAGGGUGUGGAUUGCUGGUUCGAGAGGUACGCGACAUCUCUAUUUACACUCGUAUCACUUGGUGCUGGAUUCAAAUAUUUCUCUUUGGAAGUAAAAGUUACGUAUUUUUUUAAUGUUGGUACCAAAGGGGUACUGCUGCGCAUUACAAAAAUUUCUACAAGUCUGCUAGAUUCAAAUAAUAUUUCUCUCACGCUUUAUGGUUGUAUUUGAGCAAUAAUUUGUCAGAGGCGGCAGGCCAGAUCGGGAAAUAUGGCAACUUUUUAGAAAUUGAUGCUGCGCGUUUGCUUUACCAACAAGUUCUUAUGUUGGUUUUCAGCAGGGACGAAACGAGGAUGCUGUGUUCUGGGGAUUUUUAUCUGAUGCGAGAAAGGUCGUCGUUCUUUAUUUCGAAGCCACAUUAGAUUGAUUUUGUGUCCCGGUGUCCCCACAGGGAAAUUGUAGCAGUUGGAAAAGUACUUUGUGGGAAACUUGCUUAAGCGGAAAGAACGGAGUUUGUUCCAGUGGCUAUCUACACGAACAACGUGUGCUACGCGGAAUCCUUUCCUUGGUGCAGCAAAUUGGAGCGAGGGUGAAGCCUUCCUAAGUGUAGAGCUACAGAUUGAAGAGACGUGUUGCUGAAAGGAACAAAUGAGGUUUCUUCCCGUUGCUGGUUGUGCAGGUGACGAGUGCGGCUGCGUGGCUUCUGAGUGUGAUUUUACUCCGUGUACAUUAUCAGGGAAUGGAGUUUUUACUCUUACCGAGUUUUAUUUUAUAGGGUUGUCGUCCCCGUAUUUGUAUCUGCAAUUUGUGUAGUGUUGGAACGGAGGUUUAUGGCUUGAACUUCCAUUUUGGUGGAUCUUCAUCUUGGGAAAUAAUUCAUUUAGCGUGGUCCAGUUCCAGUGGAGUUCAUGGCAACCACGUUGGCUCUUAAUAAGGGGACUGAUCCUUUGAAUAUCCUGCAAAUUUUGUGCUUGACUAGGGAUCUUUUGUUGAUAAAUAGAUCUCUGGGCGGUUGGGAGGCCGUUCAUCGAAACUAAUUUUACCAAAUUAGUAGAAUUCUUGUCGUAGUUUAGAUUAUUGGAAUUUUUUUUCCUUUUUUUCUUUCUUGAUGUUUUAUUUUUGUCUGUUGUUCUUCAUUGCGUGUUAAGCAUUUGUCCUUUAUAUUACUCUACUCGAUUUUAACUUUAUCAUUUGAUCAUUUUGUUCGCAUGAUCUGAUGCUGGAAUCAGGUUUCAGGUGUUCUGUAUGUCACGUCUGAUUUGUUAAGAUUUUUCAUCUCAUUAGGUAAUUAUCAUAUCCGCAUUGGUAGGUGGUAUUACUCUGCCCAAUUUUAAAUUUUAUUAUUUUGAUAAUUUCGUUCACAUGUGCUGAUAUUACUAUCAUGUUUCAGGUUUUCUGCUUGCUAGCCAUUUUGUCAUAAUUUGGUCCCAUGACCUGUUAUAUAAAUUCUGAUUUAUCCUUUCAAAUGAUGCUUUUUCUCACAGCUAAAAUCCUCUCAAAGAUGAGUUCCCGUUUAAUAAUCCAUUGGUCAAGGUCGGUAAGGGAAAUUCAACCGUAGAGAUGUGUGGAAAAGUGUAUCGCAUAGCUCCAGUUACUCUUACUCAACAGCAGCAAGCUUUCCAUCAGAAAAGGAGAUCUAGAGCAUACCAGUGGAAGGGACCAACUGUGUUCCUUAAGGACGCGGAUUCCAUACCUCCUGAUGUAGACCCCAAUACAACCAGAUGGAUUCCAGCCAAUCAUUUUUUUGCAACCACUGCAGCUGACAUUGAUUAGACCUGGCACAAAACAAUAUGUAUCAGGAGCAUGGUGUUCCAUUUCGUAUUCAGGCUGAGCAUGAGGCAGUAGAGAGGAAGCUUGAAGCGGCUUGAAUGGCAUGCAUGGUAACAGAGAGUAACUUUUCACUAUAAAAUGCCCUAAAUAACCAUAUAUAUUCUUCACUGAAGUUGCAUCCUUACCGAUCAACUUACAGUAAAUCCUGUAGAAGGUCGGAAGCCUAACCCAUAAUGAACUAAUAGUGAAAGCACCAGCGGGCUAGUCAGUUUGGGCAUAAACCUAAAAUUGAGUUUCUCUACUUGCAUUAUCUCUUAUCAAAAUAUUAAUCCUGUAGUUUCAGGUGCUAAAGAUACUUGCAAUUAUGGAAGUAGAAAUCAUACUGGUAAACCUAUGAUGCGUCCUUGACUUUCGAUUCUAAGGCCUUGUUUUACCAGGACGGAUUUGAACCUUUCUUUGUUUUUUUUUUUUUUUUGACAAUUUUGGAGAUGGGUUUGGAUGUUUGCUCAUAUGAAGAUAUGAAAUUGAUUUACCAGAUCAACACUA
This is a non-coding RNA of Carica papaya (papaya), 4622 nucleotides long. NCBI's taxonomy places the organism in Eukaryota, Viridiplantae, Streptophyta, Magnoliopsida, Brassicales, Caricaceae. The record is from RefSeq and is a predicted model, not a curated record.